CCAAACCUUCAUCCUAACCUUAACCAUAUAGCAAGUACAUGUAGUAGUCUACUUAACUGUGUAAUUACAUUGUAACAUUACAAAUAUUAAAAUAAUAUUUACAGGUACUACUUUUGAUCUUAAUAAUGUAUUUAGAAAUUUACACUAAAUAGGGUUUAGGCUUUUCUCAUUGUUAGUUCAUGUUAAUUAAAAAGAAAACGUUACCAAAAUGCCUUUAUAUUUUCUAUAACGGCACUCUUAUUGGUAGGACGACGAGGAUGUUUGCAAACAAAUUGUUUGUAAUUUGAUCUGUAUUUUUUUUCUUUAUUUAUAUAUUUGAUACAUAUGCAAGGUCAGGUCGAAACAACUUAAUAUUCAUGAGCUGAGACGGGCAGGUCGUGACAUCACUACGGCCCUUUCCAAUUCAAAGCCUUUCUCGGCACUGCUGGCUGAAAGUAGGCUUUAUCAAAUUAGCCAAACAAUAAUAAAAUGCGGGGAUGUGUAAUAUUUGGGAAGCUUGGAUUUCUCGUAUAUUUGUAGAGCUCGCAGAUUCUGUGUGGGCCUGAUAACAGCGCGUUCUCUAAUCAUCACAGGACUGAAAAUAUGUGGAAAUGAUUAAAUAACACUGUUUUAGCCGACUUUGUUACUCGGGCUAGGUUAGAUUACACGCAGUUUGCUUAAAGGCUGAACAGCCAUCUCUGGAGCACUGGGGAGAUUUUUCAGCUCUUUACGACUCCGUCCAGAAAGAGAGUACUGGGAGCAACAAGGCAUUACUCUCGCACGCGCGCACGCCAGCGAGGGCCAUUUACUUACCAACUAAGGAGAUCCUUGAGUGCUAAGCUGUAAAUUUGGUUAAUUUAGCACGAUUCCACAGAGAAUUGGUCGGGUUUCUUGCGGGGGAAAGCCCAGCAGGCUCGCUGCGAAUGAGCGGAGAUGGUUGAUGUGGUCCUUAGCGCCUUGAUGACGGCAGGAACACGCGGUUGACAGCGCGCGCCGGAGCCAUAAAACAGAGCUGCCACGCAGGGGCACAAUGCGCGGCAAUAUGAAUAUUGCUCAAACUUAAUGCAAUUAGCUUGUAUUGAAGAAAGAUGAAAAUGUUCAAUACUUAGAGAAAAUGGUGUAUACAGAUGGAGACGUGGCCCUAUGAAAUCACACGUCCAGCCAGGCAAUCAACGCUGAAAAACAUCACGCAAAUGCAAGCGAUAAAUCGCGGUGUUUCACAUUGUCACAGUGUGUGCGCGCACUGCUUCUUGUGAUUGGGAGCACCUGCACACAGUGCAGCGGGCAUAUAUAGCCUAUUAAGGAUACAAACCAGACCAUUUUCAAAUUGAACCUUAUUGAAUGAAAGAAGAGAGGGAGGGAGAAAUAAAAGCCAGCUACCAAUUUCGUCCAUUUAACUGACUCUUAAAUCAGACUUGAUUGAAAGGGAACAAAGAGAAUUAGAAAAAGCAGCUCUUUUGAUGAACCACACAGGAUAUGAUGACAUUCAGCAGCUCUCCACAGCUCUGCUCUGACACUAAAGCCACCAGCAAUGCAUGUUUGCAUGAUGGCCAUAAGGACAUGACAGAAUCUCCCAGUGCAUCCUUGUGAACCGGGUCAAGAUCACUCUUGCACCUGGCAUUGUAAUGCGGAUGCUGCACACUGGUGGUGGUUGAGGAGAGACCCCCCCCAUGUGAUUGUACAACAACACACAAAGCGCCAUAUAAAUGCAUCCAUCCAUCCAUUGUAAUGAGCCUUUUUUGCAACUUUCAUUCCAUGGAAUAUUGUGGCACAUACACUUUUUGGGCUUUAUCAUGCAUUGUGAGUUUUUUGUAGUUUUCCUCAUAGUUGACUCUGAAGUUUGACAUCAUGAUUUUUAAAGCCAAAUUAACCUUGUUACUUAAAGUCUAGAUAAGAGGGCUUCCAAAGUGUGUGCCCAAGGCUCUCGCAGCACAAUGACAGAAACCAGAUUCUGUGUUUUGCAGGGUGAAGCGCAACAUCGCACGCAGCUGACUCCAUCAGCAUAGAGCGCGAGUGUCCCGUGGUGCGUGCUACCAUCUGUCCAUCAGCAGAUUCCCUUUGAGUGUAGGAUACCCAGUGGUGUUCUAGAGGUCUGGACCCACAUUAGCACAACAUCAAACAGGCUCCCUCCUACACAUGCAGCUCUGCAUGCGCUCCUGCUUAUCUUAUCUGAGACGGAAGGAGGAAGUCACCCCUCUGGUCCAUCCCUGUAGAAUUAGGCUUGACCUUUCUCAUGCAAAGCUGAGAGAACUUGGAGAGGUUUUCUGCCCCGGCGACUGGGAUUGUGUCCAGGGAUACUGCUUUAAUGGGGCACCUGCUGUGCUAUUGUUAAAAAUAAAGAUAGGUAUGACUGGCAUCGGCUGAUAUCUUUAAUAUGGAAUGUGUUCUAAUUCCAUUUUUAUGACAGCACUGUAGUGAUGAAAGUUAUGUUUAAGGGUGUUAAAAGUGUCCUUUAGUUUUGCUAAUAGCACAUAUAGCACACUUUCAAACGCAUGGUUUCCAAAACCAGGGUUCACAACCCCCUAGUGCUACAUGAUGAAAUUACAAAGAAACUGAGAUUAAAUUGCAAUAAAUUAUAAAAAAUAAAUAAUGAUAUACAUAUAAUUCUACACACUUGAACAGUAUACAGCAUGCUAAUGCGUGUGUGUGUGCGUGCGUGUAUAUAUAUAUAUAUAUAUAUAUAUAUAAGUAGUCAACAUCUGAAGUGGUUCAAAAUGGUUCUUCAAAGUUGUCCUAGGACAAGACACAUU
Molecule: long non-coding RNA, 2729 nt
Organism: Carassius auratus (goldfish)
Lineage: Eukaryota; Metazoa; Chordata; Actinopteri; Cypriniformes; Cyprinidae
Exons: 3
Source: RefSeq, a predicted model, not a curated record